CUGCUGGAGAAGCCCUGGGGACCAGCGAUGCGAGCCCCUCGGGACGUGAUGGAAGGCUCUGGGGUCGGCCUUCAAAAGGAAGAUGGUGGCAUGAUGGCU
This is a long non-coding RNA of Myotis brandtii (Brandt's bat), 99 nucleotides long. RefSeq lists it as uncharacterized. The transcript has 3 exons. The record is from RefSeq and is a predicted model, not a curated record. NCBI's taxonomy places the organism in Eukaryota, Metazoa, Chordata, Mammalia, Chiroptera, Vespertilionidae.